RNAcentral lists this long non-coding RNA (702 nucleotides) under Mus musculus (house mouse). RNAcentral's name for it is "long non-coding RNA chr2:83394179-83394881". The record is from RNAcentral. Lineage: Eukaryota; Metazoa; Chordata; Mammalia; Rodentia; Muridae.
GGCAUAAAGGUAGACAAGGAAGUGAUGCCUCUGCCAUGAACCAACGGUGAGAGCACCAACCAGGGGCUGGAUGAGCCCUCUAAAUGCAAUACCUAUUGCACAAAGGAUGGAGCUGACUUUACCAAGUAGCAUGGUGUCCUGGCGAUGGGGAACCCUCCCUCUGAACCCUUGCCAUCAGAAAUAUGUCAGUGUUGAGGCCUCACUGAUGGAGAUCUUGACGUGCAGAACUGUCAGUAUGUAACUAAACAAGGCUUUGGAUGGUGUCUACAUGGCUCUGAGUGGCCAUCCCAUCUACCUUGAACAACCUUGCUGAAGCCCAACAUGGUCACACUCUUACUCAGAAAUUUUCCAGUGAAGAAAUUGCCACAGCAACUGUUGUGAGACUCAUUGCACUGUACCCUUUAUGGUCCAUGGUAUCAAAUUCCUGUCUGAAGGGCACAUUGAGGAAGAGGUCUCCAUCAACCUCCAUGCUAUCAACAAGUGCCCCCUGCUGAAGUAAUUGGCCUUGACUUUCUCCUAUGGCUGAGUCCUGCAGGUCUUUGUACUAAAGGCUGGAGGCAGGAAGGAGACCCUGAAGGCUGGCCAAGAGGAGUACAGGAAGGAGCCCUAGCCAAAUGCCCCUCUUGUCAAGGAAAGCACACCCUAAGUGGUAAGUCCUGCCGAUAGCCAGUGAGCCUUCAUCUCUGAGACCAAGUCUACUGA